AGUAAAAUGCCUGAAAUUAAAGGAUUAUCUUGAUAGGAUAAAUAAUGUAUAAAAUACUUUUACUA
This 65-nucleotide transfer RNA is filed under the name Haemaphysalis danieli. RNAcentral's name for it is "tRNA-Ile". The record is from RNAcentral. Lineage: Eukaryota; Metazoa; Arthropoda; Arachnida; Ixodida; Ixodidae.